GACCUGGCUGGGCGGUCCGCUUACCAGCGUGUACUGUCUGGCUGGGCCUUACCUCUUGGUGAACCGGCGUGCCCUUUAUUGGUGUGCGUCGGGGAACCAGGACUUUUACCUUGAGAAAAUUAGAGUGUUCAAAGCAGGCCUAUGCCCGAAUACAUUAGCAUGGAAUAAUAAAAUAGGACGUGCGGUUCUAUUUUGUUGGUUUCUAGAGUCGCCGUA
This 216-nucleotide ribosomal RNA is filed under the name uncultured fungus. RNAcentral describes it as "partial small subunit ribosomal RNA". The stretch from base 92 to 216 matches the Rfam family "Eukaryotic small subunit ribosomal RNA", at positions 738 to 864 of the family's 1831-position model. Lineage: Eukaryota; Fungi. The record is from RNAcentral.